Molecule: ribosomal RNA, 497 nt
Filed under: uncultured bacterium
Lineage: Bacteria
Description: partial 16S ribosomal RNA
Rfam family: Bacterial small subunit ribosomal RNA
Source: RNAcentral
GACGAACGCUGGCGGCAUGCCUAAUACAUGCAAGUCGAACGCUGAAGCACUCUGCUUGCAGAGUGCGGAUGAGUGGCGAACGGGUGAGUAACACGUGGGAAAUCUGCCUAUAAGAGGGGGAUAACAUUCGGAAACGGAUGCUAAUACCGCAUAUAUUCUUGGACCGCCUGGUCCUUGAAAGAAAGACGGCUUUGCUGUCGCUUAUAGAUGAUCCCGCGGCGUAUUAGUUAGUUGGUGGGGUAAAGGCCUACCAAGACAAUGAUACGUAGCCGACCUGAGAGGGUGAUCGGCCACACUGGGACUGAGACACGGCCCAGACUCCUACGGGAGGCAGCAGUAGGGAAUCUUCCACAAUGGGCGAAAGCCAGAUGGAGCAAUGCCGCGUGAAUGAAGAAGGUCUUCGGAUCGUAAAGUUCUGUUAUUAGAGAAGAACAAGUCAAGGAGUAACUGUCUUGACUUUGACGGUACCUAACCAGAAAGUCACGGCUAACUACGUG